RNAcentral lists this long non-coding RNA (418 nucleotides) under Capra hircus (goat). RNAcentral describes it as "lncRNA (ENSCHIG00010003954.1)". Lineage: Eukaryota; Metazoa; Chordata; Mammalia; Artiodactyla; Bovidae. The record is from RNAcentral.
GCGCUCCAUGGGCUGCGCCUAGAGCAAGGAGGCGCGGGCGGCCGAGCGGAAGGCCAAGCGCAAGAGUGACCGGGACGGUCGCACGGCAGGGAUGGUUCAGCCUCUUGCUGUUAUCUGUCAGGAUCCCCUGAGAACUAUCUUUGAGUACGGUGAAAUGAGUGGGGAAUAGCGAAUGAACUGCCGGAAGUCUCCAGUCAGAUGACAGAACUAAAGAUGUAAUCCAUGCUAAGGAUCAUCUCUCUAGUCAAACUUUGCCAAAAAGCUCAGCCGUCGUGGUGAGUGGCCACCUCAGGGCCCACCAGCACAGCCCUCGAGGCUCCCAGAGCCCAGGCACGGGCCUGUUUCCACAGCCACCGUGUGGUCAUCUUCAGCAGGUCCACGCGCAGAUGCUAUACUGAGGUAAGGCUUUAACCUCCGA